RNAcentral lists this ribosomal RNA (957 nucleotides) under Triticum aestivum (bread wheat). Its description in RNAcentral is "partial small subunit ribosomal RNA". Lineage: Eukaryota; Viridiplantae; Streptophyta; Magnoliopsida; Poales; Poaceae. The record is from RNAcentral.
AUGAUAAUUAUGGAUGUGCUCCGAUUUGCAUUUUCCGAGAAAUCAGGAUUUAGAGAGUUUCUCAAUGAAUCUUGUGAUAGGGUCAGCCUAACAACCAAAACCUGGACAUCUAUGCAACAGCAGAGCUAUAUUUGUGUUAAGGCUCAUUUCCUUGACACCGGUUGGAGGCUACAUAAGAGGAUUAUUGGGUUCUUCUUGGUGUGUGGUCAUAAGGGGGAAGACAUUGGGAAUGACAUCGAGACGUGUUUGGUGGAUUGGGGUUUAGAGAAAGCGUUCACAAUAACCGUUGACAAUGCAUCAGCAGACGAUGGUGCUGUAAGUUACAUGAGGAGGGCCAUGAACGAUGCUAAAACUAGCAUAGCAAAAGGACAAUAUGUUCACAUGAGAUGUGCAGCCCAUGCCAUAAACAUGAUAGUUUUGGAUUGCCCAAGAGAGUUGGAUAUCCCAGUGCAACGAGUCCGUGCUGCUGUCCGUUUAAUCAGAAAUUUUUUAUCUGGAAUUACUCAAUUUAAGAAGUAUGCUGACUUGGAGAAGGUGGACAUCAAAGCAUUCUUAUCGCUUGUUGUAUGCAUCAGAUGGAACUCCACAUACCUAAUGUUGAAAGCUGCAGCCACAUAUCAGAAGGUGUUUGAUAGGUAUGGUGAUGAUGACCCUCACUUUGCAAUCGAGUUAAAUAGUGAGAAACCACCAGGAGUUCCUGGAGCUGUAGAUUGGGAAUAUGCAAGGAAGAUUUCGGAGUUUCUUGAGCAUUUUUAUAACCUCAUUGUUCGUGUUUCGGUCCAAGCACUCAUUUGUACUCAGGAAUGGAUGCGGUCAGCUCCUGUAAAUGAUGAAGAGGAUACAGAACAGUUGAUCAAACUAGAGGAAGAAUUACUUCAAGAAAUGAGUGGCCUCAACGUAUCCGAGACUAGCUCUAGUAAUAACAAUUCCAUCACCGUUGAUCAUUCCACAUCAUAA